GCUGGAGUAGCUCAGUUGGUUGGAGAGUGUGGCUUUUAAAGUGCAAGGUCGAAGGUUCAAGUCCUUCGUCCAUUA
This is a non-coding RNA of Thalictrum thalictroides, 75 nucleotides long. Lineage: Eukaryota; Viridiplantae; Streptophyta; Magnoliopsida; Ranunculales; Ranunculaceae. The record is from the annotation of a GenBank genome assembly.